Unclassified non-coding RNA from Macaca fascicularis (crab-eating macaque), 148 nucleotides. It matches the Rfam family "Metazoan signal recognition particle RNA". From Rfam's summary of the family: The signal recognition particle (SRP) is a universally conserved ribonucleoprotein. It is involved in the co-translational targeting of proteins to membranes. The eukaryotic SRP consists of a 300-nucleotide 7S RNA and six proteins: SRPs 72, 68, 54, 19, 14, and 9. NCBI's taxonomy places the organism in Eukaryota, Metazoa, Chordata, Mammalia, Primates, Cercopithecidae. The record is from Ensembl.
GCUGGGUGUGGUGGCGCACGCCUGUAAUCUCAGGUACUCCAGAGGCUGAGGCAGGAGAAUCUCUCGAACCCAGGAGGCGGAGGUUGCAGUGAGCCGAGGUCACAGCACUGCACUCCAGCCUGGGUGACAGAGCAAGACUCUGUCUCAA